This is a non-coding RNA of Ictidomys tridecemlineatus (thirteen-lined ground squirrel), 1209 nucleotides long. The record is from RefSeq and is a predicted model, not a curated record. NCBI's taxonomy places the organism in Eukaryota, Metazoa, Chordata, Mammalia, Rodentia, Sciuridae.
ACUGUGUUAAAGAGAAACAGGAAAGCAGAUAAAAUUAAUCUAGCUUGGCUAGGAUGUACGUGCUGCCUGAGAAAAGCAUUACUAAGGCAGCAGUUGUUUUAAUAUGACUGAGAGGUCAACAGAGGAAAUAGGUUUAUAUUUAUUAAUAUUGGAACCAAAAUAGCAUUUGUACAAGAAAAGUGAUUGAUGCUUUAGCAUCCAUACAAGGUAGAGUUACAGGAAAUAAUUUUCCCCAGAUGAUUUAUAACUUUGUUAUACAGAGACAGAUGUCUUUGUAGUAAAAAUAUUUCAUAUCGGGAAAUGAGUUUUACAAAUGCUAUUUUUCUUCUUCAGCAUAAGCUGCAUGAACUGCUUCACAAGUUUGGUGGUACAAAUACAGUUGAAUAUUGUACUUGUCCAAUUAAUGGCAUGAGUUCUCUCCUUUUUGCCAAGAAGUCUAAUAUCAACUGUUUGGGACCCUCACAACUUCCAGAAUUCUAUUAGUUUGGAGGUUUUGUCAUUCUAAAGAAUACACAAACGCUCCUUGUCCUGUUUCUAAAAUCAUUUCUACACAGAAAGGGACUAGUGGUCAGGGAAGCUUCAGUCAGAACACUGAAGGUCAAGUAUCUCUGUCCCCAUUCACAGAAGCGUGAUUUUUCGUCACACUGUUGCAUAAUUGGGAGGACCACUCAGUUGACUUCCUAAAAUAAUACAAUUUCUAAGUUUUUCGGCGAACACAACAUCUUUGUUUGUAUGUGGUGCUGAGGAUCCAACCCGGGCCGCACACAUGCCAGGUGAGCGCGCUACUGCUUGAGCCACAUCCGCAGCCCUUGAUGUGAUUUUAAAGUAGUUUCUUUUGUACCAAAUUCAGGACUACAGGAGACAAGUAUAAAUUUAUCAUCAUGUAUGUAAUACUUAAAACUACUUCUUAUAAAACUGAAAUAUGAAAGCAGAUUUUCAAAAUGUUGCAAAUGGCUACCUUUCAGUGUCUUUUCCAGUGGCAGUGUUUAUUCUAGAAUCUUUUUUCUGGUCUUUUACUUCAUGACAUCUAGCAAACUUUACUGAUAAUCAGGGGUGAAUAACUUAUAAAUAUCUACAAUCAGUUUGUAAUCAAAUCUGAUGAAAACAUUUAUGCAUGCUUAUUACAUUUCUCUAUAUAUUUUCAAAUGAACUAUUUUAAGGAUUGCUAUUUAAAACUUUAUUCUGUAGAUGUUAAACUAGAAAUGUUCU